AGAGUUUGAUCCUGGCUCAGGAUGAACGCUGGCGGCGCGCCUAACACAUGCAAGUCGAACGGCACCCACCUCCGGGUGGAAGCGAGUGGCGAACGGCUGAGUAACACGUGGAGAACCUGCCCCCUCCCCCGGGAUAGCCGCCCGAAAGGACGGGUAAUACCGGAUACCCCGGGGGGGGGGGUGGGACCCCGGCCUAAAGCCCCGACGGGAGGGGAUGGCUCCGCGGCCCAUCAGGUAGACGGCGGGGUGACGGCCCACCGUGCCGACAACGGGUAGCCGGGUUGAGAGACCGACCGGCCAGAUUGGGACUGAGACACGGCCCAGACUCCUACGGGAGGCAGCAGUGGGGAAUCUUGCGCAAUGGGGGGAACCCUGACGCAGCGACGCCGCGUGCGGGACGGAGGCCUUCGGGUCGUAAACCGCUUUCAGCAGGGAAGAGUCAAGACUGUACCUGCAGAAGAAGCCCCGGCUAACUACGUGCCAGCAGCCGCGGUAAUACGUAGGGGGCGAGCGUUAUCCGGAUUCAUUGGGCGUAAAGCGCGCGUAGGCGGCCCGGCAGGCCGGGGGUCGAAGCGGGGGGCUCAACCCCCCGAAGCCCCCGGAACCUCCGCGGCUUGGGUCCGGUAGGGGAGGGUGGAACACCCGGUGUAGCGGUGGAAUGCGCAGAUAUCGGGUGGAACACCGGUGGCGAAGGCGGCCCUCUGGGCCGAGACCGACGCUGAGGCGCGAAAGCUGGGGGAGCGAACAGGAUUAGAUACCCUGGUAGUCCCAGCCGUAAACGAUGGACGCUAGGUGUGGGGGGGACGAUCCCCCCGUGCCGCAGCCAACGCAUUAAGCGUCCCGCCUGGGGAGUACGGCCGCAAGGCUAAAACUCAAAGGAAUUGACGGGGGCCCGCACAAGCAGCGGAGCAUGUGGCUUAAUUCGAAGCAACGCGAAGAACCUUACCAGGGCUUGACAUAUGGGUGAAGCGGGGGAGACCCCGUGGCCGAGAGGAGCCCAUACAGGUGGUGCAUGGCUGUCGUCAGCUCGUGUCGUGAGAUGUUGGGUUAAGUCCCGCAACGAGCGCAACCCCCGCCGCGUGUUGCCAUCGGGUGAUGCCGGGAACCCACGCGGGACCGCCGCCGUCAAGGCGGAGGAGGGCGGGGACGACGUCAAGUCAUCAUGCCCCUUAUGCCCUGGGCUGCACACGUGCUACAAUGGCCGGUACAGAGGGAUGCCACCCCGCGAGGGGGAGCGGAUCCCGGAAAGCCGGCCCCAGUUCGGAUUGGGGGCUGCAACCCGCCCCCAUGAAGUCGGAGUUGCUAGUAAUCGCGGAUCAGCAUGCCGCGGUGAAUGCGUUCCCGGGCCUUGCACACCCGCCCGUCA
Molecule: ribosomal RNA, 1366 nt
Filed under: uncultured bacterium
Lineage: Bacteria
Description: 16S ribosomal RNA
Rfam family: Bacterial small subunit ribosomal RNA
Source: RNAcentral